AUUGAACGCUGGCGGCAGGCCUAACACAUGCAAGUCGAGCGGAUGAAGGGAGCUUGCUCCUGGAUUCAGCGGCGGACGGGUGAGUAAUGCCUAGGAAUCUGCCUGGUAGUGGGGGAUAACGUCCGGAAACGGGCGCUAAUACCGCAUACGUCCUGAGGGAGAAAGUGGGGGAUCUUGGGACCCCACGCAAUCGGAUGACCCUAGGUCGGAUUAGCUAGUUGGUGGGGUAAGGGCCUACCAAGCCGACGAUCCGUAACUGGUCUGAGAGGAUGAUCAGUCACACUGGAACUGAGACACGGUCCAGACUCCUACGGGAGGCAGCAGUGGGGAAUAUUGGACAAUGGGCGAAAGCCUGAUCCAGCCAUGCCGCGUGUGUGGAGAAGGUCUUCGGAUUGUAAAGCACUUUAAGUUGGGAGGAAGGGCAGUAAGUUAAUACCUUGCUGUUUUGACGUUACCAACAGAAUAAGCACCGGCUAACUUCGUG
RNAcentral lists this ribosomal RNA (484 nucleotides) under uncultured bacterium. Its description in RNAcentral is "partial 16S ribosomal RNA". It matches the Rfam family "Bacterial small subunit ribosomal RNA", at positions 30 to 507 of the family's 1533-position model. The record is from RNAcentral.